GCAGUGGGGAAUUUUGCGCAAUGGGGGAAACCCUGACGCAGCAACGCCGCGUGAGUGAUGAAGGCUUUCGGGUCGUAAAGCUCUGUCAGAGGGGAAGAAACUGUUGUGGUCGAACAGGCCGCAAGACUGACGGUACCCUCAAAGGAAGCACCGGCUAACUCCGUGCCAGCAGCCGCGGUAAUACGGAGGGUGCAAGCGUUGUUUGGAAUUAUUGGGCGUAAAGCGCGUGUAGGCGGUUCGUUAAGUCUGAUGUGAAAGCCCGGGGCUCAACCCCGGAAGUGCAUUGGAUACUGGCGGACUUGAGUACGGGAGAGGGAAGUGGAAUUCCGAGUGUAGGGGUGAAAUCCGUAGAUAUUUGGAGGAACACCGGUGGCGAAGGCGGCUUCCUGGACCGAUACUGACGCUGAGACGCGAAAGCGUGGGGAGCAAACAGGAUUAGAUACCCUGGUAGUCCACGCCGCAAACGACUGGGUAC
Molecule: ribosomal RNA, 475 nt
Filed under: uncultured Pelobacter sp.
Lineage: Bacteria; Pseudomonadati; Thermodesulfobacteriota; Desulfuromonadia; Desulfuromonadales; Desulfuromonadaceae
Description: bacterial SSU rRNA
Rfam family: Bacterial small subunit ribosomal RNA
Source: RNAcentral